AGUCGAACGGCAGCACGGACUUCGGUCUGGUGGCGAGUGGCGAACGGGUGAGUAAUGUAUCGGAACGUGCCCAGUCGUGGGGGAUAACGUAGUGAAAAUUACGCUAAUACCGCAUACGAUCUAUGGAUGAAAGCGGGGGAUCGCAAGACCUCGCGCGAUUGGAGCGGCCGAUAUCAGAUUAGGUAGUUGGUAGGGUAAAGGCCUACCAAGCCAACGAUCUGUAGCUGGUCUGAGAGGACGACCAGCCACACUGGAACUGAGACACGGUCCAGACUCCUACGGGAGGCAGCAGUGGGGAAUUUUGGACAAUGGGCGAAAGCCUGAUCCAGCCAUUCCGCGUGCAGGAUGAAGGCCCUCGGGUUGUAAACUGCUUUUGUACAGAACGAAAAGGUUUCUACUAAUACUAGGAGCUCAUGACGGUACUGUAAGAAUAAGCACCGGCUAACUACGUGCCAGCAGCCGCGGUAAUACGUAGGGUGCAAGCGUUAAUCGGAAUUACUGGGCGUAAAGCGUGCGCAGGCGGUUAUAUAAGUCAGAUGUGAAAUCCCCGGGCUCAACCUGGGAACUGCAUUUGAGACUGUAUAGCUAGAGUACGGUAGAGGGGGAUGGAAUUCCGCGUGUAGCAGUGAAAUGCGUAGAUAUGCGGAGGAACACCGAUGGCGAAGGCAAUCCCCUGGACCUGUACUGACGCUCAUGCACGAAAGCGUGGGGAGCAAACAGGAUUAGAUACCCUGGUAGUCCACGCCCUAAACGAUGUCAACUGGUUGUUGGGUCUUAACUGACUCAGUAACGAAGCUAACGCGUGAAGUUGACCGCCUGGGGA
This 823-nucleotide ribosomal RNA is filed under the name uncultured organism. RNAcentral's name for it is "bacterial SSU rRNA". It matches the Rfam family "Bacterial small subunit ribosomal RNA", at positions 60 to 879 of the family's 1533-position model. The record is from RNAcentral.